AUGGAUCGAUCCGUUGACAUUUUAUUACCACAUCACAGCACAGACACACACAAUACAUCCAGACAUACAGGGCUUACAAUACAGUGUUGGCUUCAGCAUCAUGCGCUCGCAGGCUUGCUCACGGUCGCAGCAGCGGCGGGCGCAGGGGGCGUCGCCAGGUCGCAGCCGGCCUACCAGCCCGCGCCGGACUACUGGGACUCGCAUUUGGCCUUGCAGGCAGGCGGGGUCGUGCACACAGUGGGGCAGAACUUCCCUUUCGGGCAGGGCACACACCCACAGCGUGCGAUGCACGUCGCUAGCCCGUCAUCCGUCGGCUGCCCCGAUAUGGCCGGGGCUAGCGCGGUGGCGCAGAGGGCGGCCAGGAGCAUGACGGCGGCGAAUUUGAGAGCGGGAGAAGCCAUGAGAUGA
This 408-nucleotide ribosomal RNA is filed under the name Triticum aestivum (bread wheat). RNAcentral's name for it is "partial small subunit ribosomal RNA". The record is from RNAcentral. Lineage: Eukaryota; Viridiplantae; Streptophyta; Magnoliopsida; Poales; Poaceae.